RNAcentral lists this long non-coding RNA (283 nucleotides) under Mytilus galloprovincialis (Mediterranean mussel). The record is from RNAcentral. Lineage: Eukaryota; Metazoa; Mollusca; Bivalvia; Mytilida; Mytilidae.
GAAAUAUAAGUUAACAGUUGUUUUUGAGCCCUUUUAACCUUAAUAUAAGUCAAAAAGAGAUAGUUUAUAUAUCAUAAGAUUAAUCUGACUUUUAAAUAAGAUAUUAUAUACAAACUGUUAGGCAAGAAGAUAGAAUUAAACGAAACAUAACAACCAUAGAUAUAUAUGUAAAAAAAUAUUUUCAAUCAUGCUGAAUCCCACAAAGAGCAAAAAAAAAAACAAAAAAUGAUUUGAGAUCUAGCAAAAUAUGUUUAAUCACGCCGCAUGUAUUGUACUUGUCCCC